AUGCGAUCUAACAGACUAACAGGACAAGCAGUAGUUUUGAAAGGAAAUCUGGCAAGGAAAAUCCAGCAAACAAGGGAUAGGCAUAAGGCAAGUCUUUCCAGUAAGUGGUCGCAAGCGAAUGACCUAGGAAGAAGCCCGUUUACAAAGAAGUUCACAUGCCCUGCAACGGAUCUCAAACAAAGCGUGGCUGACAGCGCCAAGAAAGUAUGGCUUACACUUCCUUAG
This is a non-coding RNA of Vicia faba (fava bean), 225 nucleotides long. NCBI's taxonomy places the organism in Eukaryota, Viridiplantae, Streptophyta, Magnoliopsida, Fabales, Fabaceae. The record is from the annotation of a GenBank genome assembly.